Molecule: non-coding RNA, 192 nt
Organism: Vicia faba (fava bean)
Lineage: Eukaryota; Viridiplantae; Streptophyta; Magnoliopsida; Fabales; Fabaceae
Source: the annotation of a GenBank genome assembly
AUGAGAAAAAAUUUUCUAAUAUUAAAAUUAAAAAAUGCAAAUGAUGCUUGCUUAAUUUUUUUGUCAGUUAUGAGUAGCUCAUAUCAAGUAGAAAAGAAAAGAAUAUUGCCAGACUUUUGUUUCCACUGGAAUUGUAGCAACCUUAACUUUACUAUUCAAAGGAUUCAUUACUCUUCGAAGGGUUCAGAUUAA